This 163-nucleotide ribosomal RNA is filed under the name Urera baccifera. RNAcentral's name for it is "5.8S ribosomal RNA". It matches the Rfam family "5.8S ribosomal RNA". Rfam says of the family: 5.8S ribosomal RNA (5.8S rRNA) is a component of the large subunit of the eukaryotic ribosome. It is transcribed by RNA polymerase I as part of the 45S precursor that also contains 18S and 28S rRNA. The record is from RNAcentral. Lineage: Eukaryota; Viridiplantae; Streptophyta; Magnoliopsida; Rosales; Urticaceae. RNAcentral also lists the same sequence under 2 other names.
UAACGACUCUCGGCAACGGAUAUCUCGGCUCUCGCAUCGAUGAAGAACGUAGCGAAAUGCGAUACAUGGUGUGAAUUGCAGGAUCCCGUGAACCAUCGAGUUUUUGAACGCAAGUUGCGCCCGAAGCCGUCAGGCCGAGGGCACGUCUGCCUGGGCGUCACGC